This 421-nucleotide ribosomal RNA is filed under the name uncultured bacterium. Its description in RNAcentral is "bacterial SSU rRNA". It matches the Rfam family "Bacterial small subunit ribosomal RNA", at positions 508 to 930 of the family's 1533-position model. The record is from RNAcentral.
CCAGCCGCCGCGGUAACACGGGGGGGGCAAGCGUUGUCCGGAAUUAUUGGGCGUAAAGGGCGCGUAGGUGGAACAAUAAGUCUGAGGUGCAAACCUAUAGCUUAACUAUGGGCUUGCCUUGGAAACUGUUGUUCUUGAAUUCGGAAGAGGGAAGUGGAAUUCCUGGUGUAGCGGUGAAAUGCGUAGAUAUCAGGAAGAACACCGGUGGCGAAGGCGGCUUCCUGGUCCGAUAUUGACACUGAUGCGCGAAAGUGUGGGGAGCAAACAGGAUUAGAUACCCUGGUAGUCCACACUGUAAACGUUGGGCACUAGGUGUUGGUUUCUCUGAAAUCAGCGCCGCAGCUAACGCAUUAAGUGCCCCGCCUGGGGAGUACGAUCGCAAGAUUGAAACUCAAAGGAAUUGACGGGGGCCCGCACAAGC